Molecule: ribosomal RNA, 497 nt
Filed under: uncultured bacterium
Lineage: Bacteria
Description: partial 16S ribosomal RNA
Rfam family: Bacterial small subunit ribosomal RNA
Source: RNAcentral
GAUGAACGCUGGCGGCGUGCCUAAUACAUGCAAGUCGAGCGAACAGACGAGGAGCUUGCUCCUCUGACGUUAGCGGCGGACGGGUGAGUAACACGUGGAUAACCUACCUAUAAGACUGGGAUAACUUCGGGAAACCGGAGCUAAUACCGGAUAAUAUAUUGAACCGCAUGGUUCAAUAGUGAAAGACGGUUCUGCUGUCACUUAUAGAUGGAUCCGCGCCGCAUUAGCUAGUUGGUAAGGUAACGGCUUACCAAGGCAACGAUGCGUAGCCGACCUGAGAGGGUGAUCGGCCACACUGGAACUGAGACACGGUCCAGACUCCUACGGGAGGCAGCAGUAGGGAAUCUUCCGCAAUGGGCGAAAGCUUGACGGAGCAACGCCGCGUGAGUGAUGAAGGUCUUCGGAUCGUAAAACUCUGUUAUUAGGGAAGAACAAAUGUGUAAGUAACUAGGCACGUCUUGACGGUACCUAAUCAGAAAGCCACGGCUAACUACGUG